UUGUCAAGUAUUAACGCGUUGUCUGCGACCUGUCUAACCAACGAAUAUGAGGGGCUGUCCGGGGUCUUCGAUUUUUUUCUCCGUACAUCAUCCCAGAUUAAUUCCUGUUUUCUCCCUGUUUGAUUUACAAUUUUUCCCGAUUUUCUGAAUUAUUUGUCAAUUUUUCCGCCCCUGAAUGAGUGUAGGCCCCGAAAAAUAAUUGUCCUAUCUCCGAACAAACCCGUAAAAGUAUUGACCCUUCGUUGCACAUUUUUCAGGGGAAAAAACACCAAAGACUACAGUCUUUGCACAUUUUUCGGGGGUGAAAAACACCAAAGACUACAGUCUUUGCACAUUUUUCGGGGUGAAAAACACCAAAGACUACAGUCUUGGCACAUUUUUCGGGGUGAAAAACACCAAAGACUACAGUCUUUGCACAUUUUUCGGGGUGAAAAACACCAAAGACUACAGUCUUGGCACAUUUUU
Molecule: unclassified non-coding RNA, 465 nt
Filed under: Athalia rosae (coleseed sawfly)
Lineage: Eukaryota; Metazoa; Arthropoda; Insecta; Hymenoptera; Athaliidae
Description: misc RNA ENSAEAG00005009186.1
Source: RNAcentral